Cephalotus follicularis is the source of this 98-nucleotide small nucleolar RNA. It matches the Rfam family "Small nucleolar RNA Z103". From Rfam's summary of the family: This family consists of several snoRNA Z103 sequences which are members of the C/D class of snoRNA which contain the C (UGAUGA) and D (CUGA) box motifs. This family seems to be found exclusively in plants. The record is from Rfam. Lineage: Eukaryota; Viridiplantae; Streptophyta; Magnoliopsida; Oxalidales; Cephalotaceae.
AUGGAGGUGAUGAUUAUUUCCCCAAAUGAACGACGCUGAAUACAAUGUGCGAUUUUACAUUCUCUCUUUUGAGAUACCAAGCCAUUAGUCUGAUCCAU